GGCGGUAAGCUCAUAAGGAGACGUAUCGGUGGCGAGCCACUGCUCGAUCUCGAAGUUCUGCGUGGAGCACUGCGCGUGAACUCCAGCCGUCGAAACCUCGACGUAAUUAACGUACCAGCCGUGGUGAUCGCCGGAGCCGUCGGAGGUUAGGUUCAGAGAGCAGAUCGGACUAGGCAAACACGGCGCUCUUCCACUGAAAAUGUCGAGGUUGCUUCUCUCGAAGUAGUUGUAGUCAGGGCCCAUUAGUCCACCCCAAGCCUCUAGGUUCUUGAUCCCGAUGUAGUCACCGUACUUGUCGUAGAUUCUAGCGCUGAUGAUCGAGUCGGUUCCGGCUUUCCAGAUUGACCCGGUUCGGAGGUAGAAUGUGUAGACGCAGUCCGGUUCAUCGUCCUGUGGAAAUAAUCGGAAGAACCUUCAUACAUUGAGAGCUCUGGAGAUGAGGAUGAAGAUUAUGAACCUUCCGACUCUGGUUAUCUCACUGUCUGAUAGUUGCGCAAUCGAUUCAUUGUCUUCCUUUUCAGGGUGGGCUCAAGCAAAUUGGCUUCGUUACGUUCUAUGGUUCUUUAUGGGCUUAUACUGUAAAAACAAUAUUGGGCUCUCUCCCUACAUUUCAAGUUUGUUGCAAAGUAUUUUCAGAAAAAUAAACAUGAAAAGGGACCAUCUGACCGACUGCCGACUGACCCCAUAUAUAGGUACUAAAUUUAUUUUGGUCAGCAAAUGUAAGAGACAGUUCAGUAAUUUAUGAACAUGAACGUGGCAUCAUUUCCCCAACGGAUUACUGAUGCAUACAAUUAAAUUUAAUGUUAUCGUGUUCAUUUCUUAAGAUUACAUAAAUACUAUCCACAUUGAUCGGUUCGACUCAAGACCGAGUCGGAGACGAAUCAAAUAAUGAUAUGACUCCAUUAACGAGCGAAUUAUCCUAUAAAUCACUCACUAAUUACGGAUUAAAGGAUGGAAAAUAGCUAGAAAGAUUUAUUUAUCAAAUCAUAUCAUUAAAGGCCACAUUACACUCAUAAGACGACAGCAAACAAACAAUACGAAAGACGACCUUAUGAAUCACACACAUUCUCAUCACUCAGAUGACCCAAGAAAGCUGUUUCCGGAUCUCCGACCCGACCCGACUAACCCCAUCCCUAAGCGACACGGGACAAUUGUUCCUCACGGCGGUAAGCUCAUAAGGAGACGUAUCGGUGGCGAGCCACUGCUCGAUCUCGAAGUUCUGCGUGGAGCACUGCGCGUGAACUCCAGCCGUCGAAACCUCGACGUAAUUAACGUACCAGCCGUGGUGAUCGCCGGAGCCGUCGGAGGUUAGGUUCAGAGAGCAGAUCGGACUAGGCAAACACGGCGCUCUUCCACUGAAAAUGUCGAGGUUGCUUCUCUCGAAGUAGUUGUAGUCAGGGCCCAUUAGUCCACCCCAAGCCUCUAGGUUCUUGAUCCCGAUGUAGUCACCGUACUUGUCGUAGAUUCUAGCGCUGAUGAUCGAGUCGGUUCCGGCUUUCCAGAUUGACCCGGUUCGGAGGUAGAAUGUGUAGACGCAGUCCGGUUCAUCGUCCUGUGGAAAUAAUCGGAAGAGAAAUUAGAAAAAGAAUAAAUAUAUGAAAACCUGGUAAAUAGAGAUCGAGGAAGUUACGGCGAAGGCGACGGCGGAGA
RNAcentral lists this long non-coding RNA (1650 nucleotides) under Brassica napus (rape). RNAcentral's name for it is "long non-coding RNA (BNAP_LNC007072)". Lineage: Eukaryota; Viridiplantae; Streptophyta; Magnoliopsida; Brassicales; Brassicaceae. The record is from RNAcentral.